Long non-coding RNA from Oreochromis aureus, 235 nucleotides. RefSeq lists it as uncharacterized. Lineage: Eukaryota; Metazoa; Chordata; Actinopteri; Cichliformes; Cichlidae. The transcript has 3 exons. The record is from RefSeq and is a predicted model, not a curated record.
GGCGGUUCUCCCACCAAAGCAGACAAGCUAGAUAUAGUAGGCUUCUUGCAGAGACUGAAGGAGACUUUGCAUCAUUCUGUGAACACAGACUCAUCAGAAUAAGAGGUGUCAGGAACAUUGUGUGAUGUGCACCUAUGUUUUGUCAAUAUUCCAUUCUUUCAAAGCCUUAUUGUAUGAGAUGUGCAGUUUUAGUGUUUACUUAGUAUUUCUGUAAUUUUUGAGUCUCUUUUACUGU